RNAcentral lists this ribosomal RNA (253 nucleotides) under uncultured microorganism. Its description in RNAcentral is "partial 16S ribosomal RNA". It matches the Rfam family "Bacterial small subunit ribosomal RNA", at positions 524 to 776 of the family's 1533-position model. The record is from RNAcentral.
UACGGAGGGUGCGAGCGUUAAUCGGAAUUACUGGGCGUAAAGCGUGCGCAGGCGGCCCGUUAAGACAGGUGUGAAAUCCCUGGGCUCAACCUAGGAAUUGCGCUUGUGACUGGCGGGCUCGAGUACGGUAGAGGGGGGUGGAAUUCCUGGUGUAGCAGUGAAAUGCGUAGAGAUCAGGAGGAACACCGAUGGCGAAGGCAGCCCCCUGGGCCUGUACUGACGCUCAUGCACGAAAGCGUGGGGAGCAAACAGG